ACCAGUGUAGCACAACGGUAGUGUAGCGGUCUCCAAAACCGUUUGUGGGAGUUCGAUUCUCUCCACUGGUG
Molecule: transfer RNA, 71 nt
Filed under: Ktedonobacteraceae bacterium
Lineage: Bacteria; Bacillati; Chloroflexota; Ktedonobacteria; Ktedonobacterales; Ktedonobacteraceae
Description: tRNA-Trp
Rfam family: tRNA
About the family: Transfer RNA (tRNA) molecules are approximately 80 nucleotides in length. Their secondary structure includes four short double-helical elements and three loops (D, anti-codon, and T loops).
Source: RNAcentral